RNAcentral lists this ribosomal RNA (400 nucleotides) under Bacillus sp. NH41D. RNAcentral describes it as "bacterial SSU rRNA". It matches the Rfam family "Bacterial small subunit ribosomal RNA", at positions 22 to 424 of the family's 1533-position model. Lineage: Bacteria; Bacillati; Bacillota; Bacilli; Caryophanales; Bacillaceae. The record is from RNAcentral.
GCUCAGGAUGAACGCUGGCGGCGUGCCUAAUACAUGCAAGUCGAGCGGACCUCUUCGGAGGUCAGCGGCGGACGGGUGAGUAACACGUGGGUAACCUGCCUGUAAGGCUGGGAUAACUUCGGGAAACCGAAGCUAAUACCGGAUAAUUUUUCGAGUCGCAUGACUCGAAAUGGAAAGGCGGCUUCGGCUGCCGCUUACAGAUGGACCCGCGUCGCAUUAGCUAGUUGGUGAGGUAACGGCUCACCAAGGCGACGAUGCGUAGCCGACCUGAGAGGGUGAUCGGCCACACUGGGACUGAGACACGGCCCAGACUCCUACGGGAGGCAGCAGUAGGGAAUCUUCGGCAAUGGGCGAAAGCCUGACCGAGCAACGCCGCGUGAGUGAUGAAGGCUUUCGGGUC